This 353-nucleotide unclassified non-coding RNA is filed under the name soil metagenome. RNAcentral's name for it is "partial contains 5.8S ribosomal RNA, internal transcribed spacer 2, and large subunit ribosomal RNA". The stretch from base 1 to 120 matches the Rfam family "5.8S ribosomal RNA", at positions 35 to 154 of the family's 154-position model. The record is from RNAcentral.
GAUGAAGAACGUAGCGAAAUGCGAUAAGUAAUGUGAAUUGCAGAAUUCAGUGAAUCAUCGAAUCUUUGAACGCACAUUGCGCCCGCCAGUAUUCUGGCGGGCAUGCCUGUUCGAGCGUCAUUACAACCCUCAGGCCCCCGGGCCUGGCGUUGGGGAUCGGCGGAAGCCCCCUGCGGGCACAACGCCGUCCCCCAAAUACAGUGGCGGUCCCGCCGCAGCUUCCAUUGCGUAGUAGCUAACACCUCGCAACUGGAGAGCGGCGCGGCCGCGCCGUAAAACACCCAACUUCUGAAUGUUGACCUCGAAUCAGGUAGGAAUACCCGCUGAACUUAAGCAUAUCAAUAAGCGGAGGA